ACAGAGGGGGCAAGCGUUGUUCGGAAUUACAGGGCGUAAAGGGCGCGUAGGCGGCCUUCUAAGUCGAACGUGAAAUCCCCGGGCUCAACCCGGGAACUGCGUCCGAUACUGGAUGGCUUGAAUCCGGGAGAGGGAUGCAGAAUUCCAGGUGUAGCGGUGAAAUGCGUAGAUAUCUGGAGGAAUACCGGUGGCGACGGCGGCAUCCUGGACCGGCAUUGACGCUGAGUGAGCGAAAGCUAGGGGAGCAAACGGG
RNAcentral lists this ribosomal RNA (253 nucleotides) under uncultured bacterium. RNAcentral describes it as "partial 16S ribosomal RNA". It matches the Rfam family "Bacterial small subunit ribosomal RNA", at positions 525 to 776 of the family's 1533-position model. The record is from RNAcentral.